This 253-nucleotide ribosomal RNA is filed under the name uncultured bacterium. Its description in RNAcentral is "partial 16S ribosomal RNA". It matches the Rfam family "Bacterial small subunit ribosomal RNA", at positions 524 to 776 of the family's 1533-position model. The record is from RNAcentral.
UACGUAGGGCGCAAGCGUUGUCCGGAAUUAUUGGGCGUAAAGAGCUCGUAGGCGGUCUGUCGCGUCUGUUGUGAAAACUCGAGGCUCAACCUCGGGCUUGCAGUGGAUACGGGCAGACUAGAGUGCGGUAGGGGAGACUGGAAUUCCUGGUGUAGCGGUGGAAUGCGGAGAUAUCAGGAGGAACACCGGUGGCGAAGGCGGGUCUCUGGGCCGAUAUUGACGCUGAGGAGCGAAAGCGUGGGGAGCAAACAGG